AAUGAACGCUGGCGGCGUGCGUAACACAUGCAAGUCGAACGUGAAAGUCUGCUUCGGCAGGCGAGUAAAGUGGCAAACGGGUGAGUAACACGUGGGUAACCUGCCCUCCUGUGGGGAAUAACCUUGCGAAAGCGGGGCUAAUACCGCAUGAAAAGUCGCUAUUAAUUAGAUGACUUUAAAGCCUUCGGGCGCAGGAGGAGGGGCCCGCGGCCCAUUAGCUAGUUGGUGGGGUAACGGCCUACCAAGGCGAUGAUGGGUAGCCGGCCUGAGAGGGUGUCCGGCCACACUGGGACUGAGACACGGCCCAGACUCCUACGGGAGGCAGCAGUGGGGAAUCUUGCGCAAUGGGCGAAAGCCUGACGCAGCGACGCCGCGUGGGUGAUGAAGUUUUUCGAAACGUAAAACCCUGUCGGGAGGGACGAAGCUCUGACGGUACCUCCGAAAGGAAGCCCCGGCUAACUCCGUG
RNAcentral lists this ribosomal RNA (466 nucleotides) under uncultured bacterium. Its description in RNAcentral is "bacterial SSU rRNA". It matches the Rfam family "Bacterial small subunit ribosomal RNA", at positions 29 to 507 of the family's 1533-position model. The record is from RNAcentral.